GACGAACGCUGGCGGCGUGCUUAACACAUGCAAGUCGAACGGAAAGGCCCUGCUUUUGUGGGGUGCUCGAGUGGCGAACGGGUGAGUAACACGUGAGUAACCUGCCCUUGACUUUGGGAUAACUUCAGGAAACUGAGGCUAAUACCGGAUAGGAGCUCCUGCUGCAUGGUGGGGGUUGGAAAGUUUCGGCGGUUGGGGAUGGACUCGCGGCUUAUCAGCUUGUUGGUGGGGUAGUGGCUUACCAAGGCUUUGACGGGUAGCCGGCCUGAGAGGGUGACCGGCCACAUUGGGACUGAGAUACGGCCCAGACUCCUACGGGAGGCAGCAGUGGGAAAUAUUGCACAAUGGGCGGAAGCCUGAUGCAGCAACGCCGCGUGCGGGAUGACGGCCUUCGGGUUGUAAACCGCUUUCGCCUGUGACGAAGCGUGAGUGACGGUAAUGGGUAAAGAAGCACCGGCUAACUACGUG
This 468-nucleotide ribosomal RNA is filed under the name uncultured bacterium. Its description in RNAcentral is "partial 16S ribosomal RNA". It matches the Rfam family "Bacterial small subunit ribosomal RNA", at positions 28 to 507 of the family's 1533-position model. The record is from RNAcentral.